This 253-nucleotide ribosomal RNA is filed under the name uncultured bacterium. RNAcentral describes it as "partial 16S ribosomal RNA". It matches the Rfam family "Bacterial small subunit ribosomal RNA", at positions 524 to 776 of the family's 1533-position model. The record is from RNAcentral.
UACAGAGGGUGCGAGCGUUAAUCGGAAUUACUGGGCGUAAAGCGCGCGUAGGCGGCUCUGCAAGUCGGGUGUGAAAUCCCCAGGCUUAACCUGGGAACUGCAUUCGAGACUGCAUUGCUAGAGUAUGGGAGAGGGGAGUGGAAUUUCCGGUGUAGCGGUGAAAUGCGUAGAUAUCGGAAGGAACAUCAGUGGCGAAAGCGACUUCCUGGACCAAUACUGACGCUCAUGUGCGAAAGCGUGGGGAGCAAACAGG